CGAGUCAGCCGGGCAAUUGCCGCUUAUUCGGUGCAGUUUGCUAUUUGUAAACUGUGGCCAUGAGAGGAGGAAAGUCCGGGCUCCAAAGAGCAGGGUGCCAGGUAAUACCUGGGGAGUGAGAACUCACGGCCAGUGCAACAGAAAAUAUACCGCCUUGAUUUAACUUUUGUUUUAGAUAGGUAAGGGUGAAAUGGUGCGGUAAGAGCGCACCGCGCAGCUGGUAACAGCUUG
This 231-nucleotide RNase P RNA is filed under the name Rhodospirillaceae bacterium. Its description in RNAcentral is "partial RNase P RNA component class A". It matches the Rfam family "Bacterial RNase P class A", at positions 1 to 198 of the family's 367-position model. From Rfam's summary of the family: Ribonuclease P (RNase P) is a ubiquitous endoribonuclease, found in archaea, bacteria and eukarya as well as chloroplasts and mitochondria. Its best characterised activity is the generation of mature 5'-ends of tRNAs by cleaving the 5'-leader elements of precursor-tRNAs. Cellular RNase Ps are ribonucleoproteins. The record is from RNAcentral. Lineage: Bacteria; Pseudomonadati; Pseudomonadota; Alphaproteobacteria; Rhodospirillales; Rhodospirillaceae.